Molecule: ribosomal RNA, 1370 nt
Filed under: Phyllocnistis citrella
Lineage: Eukaryota; Metazoa; Arthropoda; Insecta; Lepidoptera; Gracillariidae
Description: 16S ribosomal RNA
Rfam family: Eukaryotic large subunit ribosomal RNA (bases 1116-1275)
Source: RNAcentral
UAAGAAAAAAUUAAUAAAUAAAAUUUAAAAAAAGUAAUUUAUAAUAUAAUUAUAUUUUAAUGGGGGUUAAAGUAUAAAUUAUAGAAAAAAUUAUAAAAUUUAUAGUAAAAUAGUAUUGUAAAAUAAAUUUGAAAUAUUUGAAAAAUAAUUAUUAAAAAAGUAGAUUUAAUUUAUUUUAUCUUGUGUAUCAGAGUUUAUUAAUUAAAUAUUAAGAAUUUAAUAUUUUCGAAUUAAUAAGAGAUAAUUAAUUAAAAAAGUUAUUGUUACAAAAAUAUUUUUAAUAAUUAAUUUGAAAUUAAAAGUUAAUCGUUUAUUAAGAUAUCUAAUUUUUUUAGAAAUAAAUUUAAUUUAAAAUUUGAUUAAUUAAUAAUUUAAUUAAAAAUUUAAUUUUUUGAAAUCAUAUUUAAAUAUUUUAAGGGAUAAGCUUUAAAAUAAAAUUUUAUAAUAAAUUUAAUAAAUAUAAUUAAAAUUAAUAAUUAUAUUUCAAUUAAUAAAAAUUAAUAAAAUUUAUAUUUUUUAAAAAAUUUAAUUUUUUAUAAAAAAUUUUUUUUAAAAUAAAAUUUUAUAAAAAUUUAAUUUUGUAUAAAAAAAUUAUUUUUAAUUAAAUAUAAUAAAAUAUAAUGAUAAAAUUAGUAUAUUUAAAAAAGUUAUUAAAAAUAUAAUAAAAAUUUAAAAAUUAAAAAAAGGAAUUCGACAAAAAUAAAUUUUUACCUGUUUAUCAAAAACAUGUCUUUUUGAAAAUAAUUUAAAGUCUAAUCUGCCCACUGAUUUUAUAUUAAAGGGCUGCAGUAUAUUGACUGUACAAAGGUAGCAUAAUCAAUAGUCUUUUAAUUGAUGACUUGUAUGAAUGAUUGGAUAAAAAAUUAAUUGUCUCUUUUUAAAAUAUAGAAUUUAAUUUUUUAGUUAAAAAGCUAAAAUAAAAUUAAAAGACGAGAAGACCCUAUAGAAUUUUAUAUUUUAAUUGAUUAUUAUUAUUUUAUAAAUUUUUAAUAAAUAAUUAGUUAAAAUAAUUUAUUGGGGUGAUAAAAAAAUUAAAAUAACUUUUUUUUUAUUUAACAAAAAUAAUUGAAUAUUAUGAUCCAUAAUUUAUGAUUAAAAGAAAAAAUUACCUUAGGGAUAACAGCGUAAUUUUUUUUUUUAGUUCUUAUAAGAAAAAAAGUUUGCGACCUCGAUGUUGGAUUAAGAUAAAAUUUAAAUGCAGAAGUUUAAAAAUUUUGAUCUGUUCGAUCAUUAAAAUCUUACAUGAUCUGAGUUCAGACCGGUGUGAGCCAGGUCGGUUUCUAUCUUUAGUAAAUAUAAAUAUUUUAGUACGAAAGGAUUAAAUAUUUAAAAUAAUUUUAAUAUUUUGAAUAUUAAUAAAUAAUAAAAUA